ACCCCCGUGAGAAUGCCCUACAGUUCCCUGCCUGGGAACAAGGAGCCGGUAUCAGGCACACUCCCCUUAAGCCCAUGACACCUUGCUUAGCCACACCCUCAAGGGAACUCAGCAGUGAUAAACAUUAAGCCAUAAGUGAAAACUUGACUUAGUUAAAGUUAAGAGGGUCGGUAAAACUCGUGCCAGCCACCGCGGUUAUACGAGAGACCCAAGUUGUUAGACACCGGCGUAAAGAGUGGUUAGGUUUAAACUAUAAACUAAAGCCGAACAUCUUCAAAGCUGUUAUACGCACCCGAAGAUAAGAAGUUCAAUCACGAAAGUGGCUUUACCCCAACUGAACCCACGAAAGCUAGGAUACAAACUGGGAUUAGAUACCCCACUAUGCCUAGCCCUAAACAUUGAUAAUAUCCUACAAUUAUUAUCCGCCCGGGUACUACGAGCAUCAGCUUAAAACCCAAAGGACUUGGCGGUGCUUUAGAUCCACCUAGAGGAGCCUGUUCUAGAACCGAUAACCCCCGUUCAACCUCACCCUUCCUUGUUUUUCCC
RNAcentral lists this ribosomal RNA (546 nucleotides) under Prionurus scalprum (scalpel sawtail). Its description in RNAcentral is "partial 12S rRNA". It matches the Rfam family "Bacterial small subunit ribosomal RNA", at positions 307 to 991 of the family's 1533-position model. The record is from RNAcentral. Lineage: Eukaryota; Metazoa; Chordata; Actinopteri; Acanthuriformes; Acanthuridae.